GAUGAACGCUGGCGGCGUGCCUAAUACAUGCAAGACGAGCGAACAGACGAGGAGCUUGCUCCUCUGACGUUAGCGGCGGACGGGUGAGUAACACGUGGAUAACCUACCUAUAAGACUGGGAUAACUUCGGGAAACCGGAGCUAAUACCGGAUAAUAUAUUGAACCGCAUGGUUCAAUAGUGAAAGACGGUUUUGCUGUCACUUAUAGAUGGAUCCGCGCCGCAUUAGCUAGUUGGUAAGGUAACGGCUUACCAAGGCAACGAUGCGUAGCCGACCUGAGAGGGGGAUCGGCCACACUGGAACUGAGACAGGGUCCAGACUCCUACGGGAGGCAGCAGUAGGGAAUCUUCCGCAAUGGGCGAAAGCUUGACGGAGCAACGCCGCGUGAGUGAUGAAGGUCUUCGGAUCGUAAAACUCUGUUAUUAGGGAAGAACAAAUGUGUAAGUAACUAUGCACGUCUUGACGGUACCUAAUCAGAAAGCCACGGCUAACUACGUG
RNAcentral lists this ribosomal RNA (497 nucleotides) under uncultured bacterium. RNAcentral's name for it is "partial 16S ribosomal RNA". It matches the Rfam family "Bacterial small subunit ribosomal RNA", at positions 28 to 507 of the family's 1533-position model. The record is from RNAcentral.